GAUGAACGCUGGCGGCGUGCCUAACACAUGCAAGUCGAACGAAGCACUUAUGAUUGAACCUUCGGGUGAUUUUAUAUUUGACUGAGUGGCGGACGGGUGAGUAACGCGUGGGUAACCUGCCUUACACAGGGGGAUAACAGUUAGAAAUGACUGCUAAUACCGCAUAAGCGCACGAGACCGCAUGGUCUUGUGUGAAAAGUUUUUCGGUGUAAGAUGGACCCGCGUCUGAUUAGCCUGUUGGCGGGGUAACGGCCCACCAAGGCGACGAUCAGUAGCCGGCCUGAGAGGGUGGACGGCCACAUUGGGACUGAGACACGGGCCCAAACUCCUACGGG
Molecule: ribosomal RNA, 335 nt
Filed under: uncultured bacterium
Lineage: Bacteria
Description: bacterial SSU rRNA
Rfam family: Bacterial small subunit ribosomal RNA
Source: RNAcentral